RNAcentral lists this ribosomal RNA (253 nucleotides) under uncultured bacterium. RNAcentral's name for it is "partial 16S ribosomal RNA". It matches the Rfam family "Bacterial small subunit ribosomal RNA", at positions 524 to 776 of the family's 1533-position model. The record is from RNAcentral.
UACGUAGGGGGCAAGCGUUGUCCGGAUUUAUUGGGCGUAAAGAGCUCGUAGGUGGUUUGGUAAGUCGGAUGUGAAAGCCCGGGGCUUAACCCCGGGUCUGCAUUCGAUACGGGCUAGCUAGAGUGUGGUAGGGGAGAUCGGAAUUCCUGGUGUAGCGGUGAAAUGCGCAGAUAUCAGGAAGAACACCCGUGGCGAAGGCGGUUCUCUGGGACGGUACUGACGCUGAGACGCGAAAGCGUGGGGAGCGAACAGG